UACGUAGGUGGCGAGCGUUGUCCGGAUUUACUGGGCGUAAAGGGCGCGUAGGCGGACUUUUAAGUGAGAUGUGAAAUACCCGGGCUCAACUUGGGUGCUGCAUUUCAAACUGGAAGUCUAGAGUGCAGGAGAGGAGAAUGGAAUUCCUAGUGUAGCGGUGAAAUGCGUAGAGAUUAGGAAGAACACCAGUGGCGAAGGCGAUUCUCUGGACUGUAACUGACGCUGAGACGCGAAAGCGUGGGGAGCGAACAGG
This 253-nucleotide ribosomal RNA is filed under the name uncultured bacterium. Its description in RNAcentral is "partial 16S ribosomal RNA". It matches the Rfam family "Bacterial small subunit ribosomal RNA", at positions 524 to 776 of the family's 1533-position model. The record is from RNAcentral.